Molecule: ribosomal RNA, 254 nt
Filed under: uncultured bacterium
Lineage: Bacteria
Description: partial 16S ribosomal RNA
Rfam family: Bacterial small subunit ribosomal RNA
Source: RNAcentral
UACGUAGGGGCCUAGCGUUGUCCGGAUUUAUUGGGCGUAAAGAGCUCGUAGGCGGUUUGGUGAGUCGGGUGUGAAAUCUCCACGCUCAACGUGGAGGGGCCACCCGAUACUGCCAUGACUAGAGUCCGGUAGGGGAGUGUGGAAUUCCUGGUGUAGCGGUGAAAUGCGUAGAUAUCAGGAGGAAUACCGAUGGCGAAGGCAGGUCUCUGGGCUGACACUGACGCUCAUGCACGAAAGCGUGGGGAGCAAACAGG